Molecule: ribosomal RNA, 1105 nt
Filed under: Salmonella enterica subsp. enterica serovar Typhi
Lineage: Bacteria; Pseudomonadati; Pseudomonadota; Gammaproteobacteria; Enterobacterales; Enterobacteriaceae
Description: bacterial SSU rRNA
Rfam family: Bacterial small subunit ribosomal RNA
Source: RNAcentral
GGGGGCUUUGGGCUUUUUGCUGGACGAGUUGGCGGACGGGUGAGUAAUGUCUGGGAAACUGCCUGAUGGAGGGGGAUAACUACUGGAAACGGUGGCUAAUACCGCAUAACGUCGCAAGACCAAAGAGGGGGACCUUCGGGCCUCUUGCCAUCAGAUGUGCCCAGAUGGGAUUAGCUUGUUGGUGAGGUAACGGCUCACCAAGGCGACGAUCCCUAGCUGGUCUGAGAGGAUGACCAGCCACACUGGAACUGAGACACGGUCCAGACUCCUACGGGAGGCAGCAGUGGGGAAUAUUGCACAAUGGGCGCAAGCCUGAUGCAGCCAUGCCGCGUGUAUGAAGAAGGCCUUCGGGUUGUAAAGUACUUUCAGCGGGGAGGAAGGUGUUGUGGUUAAUAACCGCAGCAAUUGACGUUACCCGCAGAAGAAGCACCGGCUAACUCCGUGCCAGCAGCCGCGGUAAUACGGAGGGUGCAAGCGUUAAUCGGAAUUACUGGGCGUAAAGCGCACGCAGGCGGUCUGUCAAGUCGGAUGUGAAAUCCCCGGGCUCAACCUGGGAACUGCAUUCGAAACUGGCAGGCUUGAGUCUUGUAGAGGGGGGUAGAAUUCCAGGUGUAGCGGUGAAAUGCGUAGAGAUCUGGAGGAAUACCGGUGGCGAAGGCGGCCCCCUGGACAAAGACUGACGCUCAGGUGCGAAAGCGUGGGGAGCAAACAGGAUUAGAUACCCUGGUAGUCCACGCCGUAAACGAUGUCUACUUGGAGGUUGUGCCCUUGAGGCGUGGCUUCCGGAGCUAACGCGUUAAGUAGACCGCCUGGGGGAGUACGGCCGCAAAGUUAAAACUCAAAUGAAUUGACGGGGGCCCGCACAAGCGUGGGAGCAUGUGGUUUAUUCGAUGCAACGCGAAGAACCUUACCUGGUCUUGACAUCCACAAGAACUUUCCAGAGAUGGAUUGGUGCCUUUCGGAACUGUGAGAACAGGUGCUGCAUGGCUGUCGUCAGCUCGUGUUUGUGAAUGUUGGUUAAGUCCCGCACGGAGGCGCCACCUAUCCUUGUUGCAAGCGUUCCGCGUCACUCAAGAACUGCAGUGAUAACUGAGAAGGUGGGAAU